Molecule: ribosomal RNA, 323 nt
Filed under: uncultured eukaryote
Lineage: Eukaryota
Description: partial 18S ribosomal RNA
Rfam family: Eukaryotic small subunit ribosomal RNA
Source: RNAcentral
CCCUUAGAUGUUCUGGGCCGCACGCGCGCUACACUGACGAUGGCAACGAGUUUUUCCUUCGCCGAAAGGUGUGGGUAAUCUUUUGAAACAUCGUCGUGCUGGGGAUAGAUCAUUGCAAUUUUUGAUCUUGAACGAGGAAUUCCUAGUAAGCGCGAGUCAUCAGCUCGCGUUGAUUACGUCCCUGCCCUUUGUACACACCGCCCGUCGCACCUACCGAUUGGAUGGUCCAGUGAAGCCUCGGGAUUGUGGCGGUUGCCUUUAUUGGUGGCCGCCGCGAGAACUUGUCUAAACCUUAUCAUCUAGAGGAAGGUGAAGUCGUAACA